This is a long non-coding RNA of Tetranychus urticae (two-spotted spider mite), 1945 nucleotides long. RefSeq lists it as uncharacterized. Lineage: Eukaryota; Metazoa; Arthropoda; Arachnida; Trombidiformes; Tetranychidae. The record is from RefSeq and is a predicted model, not a curated record.
CUCAACAAUCUUUCAAGUUGAAGUUUACAAACGAUGAUAAAGAUGGCGAGACUAGUUUCUUGGUGAUUAUUUUAUUUUAUUUUCGUCCUUUUUAUAUCGUUUUUAAUUUAAUUUAAUCAGUCCAACAAAUUUUAUCAUUUUCAUCUGUUUUAAGUACCAUACGGUUACUCUCUUACAGUGUUACACUAGUUUCAACUCUGACUUUCUUGUGGUUAAAAACUAAUUAAGUAGUUAAAGUAGUUAAUCUCCUUCUUAAACAUCAAAUCUUCGAUUUUCUAAAAUCCAGAAAAUCCUCUGAAACUACUUUUUCACCCUUUUACAACAUUCACAAUCUAAGAGAUUUGGCAUUCAAAGCAAAAAUUAAACAUGUAAAAAAAUUAACUGUAACGAUGUAAAAACAAUUAGGAAACAAAACACGGACUGUAACUUCACACCAACAGAAAGUAAUCAAUCAAUGCAACUCAUUGAAUUCAAUAAAUAUUCUUAAAUUCAGCUUAAUUGCUCUAACUCUUUUUAUCUUUCAAAGUAAUGGUUUUUCCUAAUUUCUAACUUCUAUCAGUCAUUUGACACCAAGCCUCACCAACCUCACUGAGCUUUAUUUUCAAUUGUAAAUUCCCCUUAUCAGCAUUUUCAAUUUUCUAGCAAUUCUUAUCAACUGGAAACAUUUGCUUAAUUGCAAAUCUAUCUAAUAAUGUCUAAUAAUUUUUAUCUAAUAAUUUAACUACGUAAUUAUUGUACAAUCAAUAAAAUUUUAGCAAAAAAAUAACUUUGAAUUUCACUUUUAGUGAUUCUUUGAAGAAAUGACUUUCACUUUCAUUUCAAGAUCUCAUUUUUAGAGAUCAAGAGCAUGAUGAAAUGAAACAGUUUUCUGUAACCAGAUAAAUUAAAUUUUAUGAUAAGAGAGGUCACUAUCAGUUGCUUUAUUUUCAAAAUUGGUUUUUUAUCAACAGUUCAAAUCCAUUUUAAUCUAAUAUUUUGAUCUUUUUUAAUUUCAAACAAUUGUUACCAUCUGUUAUCUGUUACAAUUUGACAAUGGAAUCUUUUUGUUCAAAUACAAUCUUCAAUUCCCAUGUUUUUCCAGAUUGCUCUGUGGAUUUAUAUUUGAAUUAAACUGUUGCUUGGGCAAUCUCUUAACCGAUUCUUGUGAAUUAAUUAAAUAUGCAUAUUGUGUUUAAACAUGUGUUGAUUAAACAAUGAUGGCCAAUUACAUAGUUGGAUGGUAAAAAAUGUUUCCAGUUUUUUCUCUCUCUCUCUGUGAUUACGUGUUACGUGAAUUGAAAAAUGAAAAGGAUUUAUGGCCUUCUCUAUCCUUGGUUAUCAAUGGACGUGAUUAACAACAACAAGCAAACCCAUCAUUAACAUUCUUCAACAAUUAAAGUUUAACUCACCUAUCCAAUAAGCAUCUUUUUAAUGUUAACAGUUUUUAUUCAGCUUUGUGUAAACUCAAGAAAAAAUUAAAUUCUGUUAAGUUUCAACUGUUUUAUUACAAAACAAAACCAAACCAAGAUAUAAAUUUCCAUUGACAGUACUUAUUGCUACUCUUUAAGUGCAAAUAUUCAUUUUUUUCUUCUUUUCUUCUCUCACUCCUUGCUAUUUAAUUAUUUGCUCUUUGCAUUUGAUUAUCUGACAAUCAUUAUAAUCAUUUAUCAAUGUAAUCUUUACGCUUCUUGAAUGCUACCUUUUCAACCAUUUGUUGUCCAUAAAAUAUCUUGCAAUGUUAGCAUGUCUUUGUCAGUUAAGUAACAUUGUGAAAACAAAAUGUCAUUUCUUGAUUGUAACUCCAAUUAUCACCAAGUUGAUCACAGCCAUCUAGAACUACUGAAACAUGAGCGAUUCCCUGUUGAUUGAUGGUUCAUCUGUUAAUUUCAAUGCAAACUGAUUUGUAUCAGAACCAAUCUUGACAAAACUCUUAAAUUACAAUUAAAAGGAUGCAAAUUACUUGAAA